RNAcentral lists this ribosomal RNA (222 nucleotides) under uncultured bacterium. RNAcentral's name for it is "partial 16S ribosomal RNA". It matches the Rfam family "Bacterial small subunit ribosomal RNA", at positions 109 to 334 of the family's 1533-position model. The record is from RNAcentral.
AGUAAUGUAUGGGGAUCUGCCCGAUAGAGGGGGAUAACUACUGGAAACGGUGGCUAAUACCGCAUAAUGUCUACGGACCAAAGCAGGGGCUCUUCGGACCUUGCACUAUCGGAUGAACCCAUAUGGGAUUAGCUAGUAGGUGGGGUAAAGGCUCACCUAGGCGACGAUCUCUAGCUGGUCUGAGAGGAUGGUCAGCCACACUGGGACUGAGACACGGCCCAG